UACGUAGGGGGCAAGCGUUGUCCGGAAUCAUUGGGCGUAAAGCGCGUGUAGGCGGCCCGGUAAGUCCGCUGUGAAAGUCCAGGGCUCAACCCUGGAAUGCCGGUGGAUACUGUCGGGCUCGAGUCCGGAAGAGGCGAGUGGAAUUCCUGGUGUAGCGGUGAAAUGCGCAGAUAUCAGGAAGAACACCCGUGGCUAAGGCGGCUCUCUAGUACGGUACUGACGCUGAGACGCGAAAGCGUGGGGAGCGAACAGG
Molecule: ribosomal RNA, 253 nt
Filed under: uncultured bacterium
Lineage: Bacteria
Description: partial 16S ribosomal RNA
Rfam family: Bacterial small subunit ribosomal RNA
Source: RNAcentral